This 1257-nucleotide ribosomal RNA is filed under the name uncultured bacterium. RNAcentral describes it as "bacterial SSU rRNA". It matches the Rfam family "Bacterial small subunit ribosomal RNA", at positions 158 to 1399 of the family's 1533-position model. The record is from RNAcentral.
AGAUGCUAAUACCGCAUAACAACGUUGUUCGCAUGAACAACGUUUCAAAGAUGGCCUCUGGCUAUCACUUCUGGAUGGACCUGCGGUGCAUUAGCUUGUUGGUGGGGUAGUGGCCUACCAAGGCGAUGAUGCAUAGCCGAGUUGAGAGACUGAUCGGCCACAAUGGGACUGAGACACGGCCCAUACUCCUACGGGAGGCAGCAGUAGGGAAUCUUCCACAAUGGGCGCAAGCCUGAUGGAGCAACACCGCGUGAGUGAAGAAGGGCUUCGGCUCGUAAAGCUCUGUUGUUAAAGAAGAACAUGCGUGAGAGUAACUGUUCACGCAUUGACGGUAUUUAACCAGAAAGUCACGGCUAACUACGUGCCAGCAGCCGCGGUAAUACGUAGGUGGCAAGCGUUAUCCGGAUUUAUUGGGCGUAAAGAGAGUGCAGGCGGUUUACUAAGUCUGAUGUGAAAGCCUUCGGCUUAACCGGAGAAGGGCAUCGGAAACUGGCUAACUUGAGUGCAGAAGAGGGUAGUGGAACUCCAUGUGUAGCGGUGGAAUGCGUAGAUAUAUGGAAGAACACCAGUGGCGAAGGCGGCUACCUGGUCUGUAACUGACGCUGAGACUCGAAAGCAUGGGUAGCGAACAGGAUUAGAUACCCUGGUAGUCCAUGCCGUAAACGAUGAGUGGUAGGUGUUGGAGGGUUUCCGCCCUUCAGUGCCCGGAGCUAAACGCAUUAAGCACUCCGCCUGGGGAGUAGGACCGCAAGGUUGAAACUCAAAGGAAUUGACGGGGGCCCGCACAAGCGGUGGAGCAUGUGGUUUAAUUCGAAGCUACGCGAAGAACCUUACCAGGUCUUGACAUCUUGCGCCAACCCUAGAGAUAGGGCGUUUCCUUCGGGAACGCAAUGACAGGUGGUGCAUGGUCGUCGUCAGCUCGUGUCGUGAGAUGUUGGGUUAAGUCCCGCAACGAGCGCAACCCUUGUUACUAGUUGCCAGCAUUCAGUUGGGCACUCUAGUGAGACUGCCGGUGACAAACCGGAGGAAGGUGGGGACGACGUCAGAUCAUCAUGCCCCUUAUGACCUGGGCUACACACGUGCUACAAUGGACUGUACAACGAGUCGCGAACUCGCGAGGGCAAGCAAAUCUCUGAAAACCGUUCUCAGUUCGGACUGCAGGUUGCAACUCGCCUGCACGAAGUCGGAAUCGCUAGUAAUCGCGGAUCAGCAUGCCGCGGUGAAUACGUUCCCGGGCCUCGCACACACCGCCCGUCA